RNAcentral lists this long non-coding RNA (1099 nucleotides) under Marmota monax (woodchuck). The record is from RNAcentral. Lineage: Eukaryota; Metazoa; Chordata; Mammalia; Rodentia; Sciuridae.
UGGGCUCACCUGCUGGAAUGCCAGUGUUUUGAGCCACCUGUCGCUGCCCAGCUGCUGUGUCCCAUACGACCGUUGACCACGUUUGUGAAACGUUUGCCCAGGUUUGGCUAGCUGCCCUGGGUCAGAGGCAACAGACGUGGGAAGUGUCCGCGGAGACCCAGAGAAGUGGGGCAGGAGAGGAGCUCUGCGAGUACCACUGACAGCACUGCUUACAGUUCCCGUGAAGAGAGAAGUCCAGCCGGGCACGGUGGCGCACACCUACGAUCCCCGCAGCUCCGAGGCUGAGGCAGGAGGAUUGCAAGUUCAAAGCCAGCCUCCGCAAAAGCAAGGAGCUAAGCAACUCAGUGAGAACCUGUCUCCAAAUUAAACACAAAACAGGGCUGGGGAUGUGGCUCAGUGGUUGAGUGCCCCUGGGUUCAAUCCCCGGUUACUCACACCCCCACACCCCAAAAGAGAGACACCUGUAAAAUGAUAAUAAGUCCUCAGCUCCUUGUUCUCCCCAGAAGAAGCUUCUCUUCCAGUCUUAAUCCACAUCAGUGACUCUAAAUCUAAGCUGUUUCCCAUUUAAUUCCCUCCCUCAGAGGAAGGGGCUUUUCAUGGAGAUAUUUUUCUAGAUGCAAUGAGCACCUUCAGUCUCUAAGCAGAAUGAGCUCCCGGGCAUCUUCCCUGCUGAUUGAUACACACACGGGAAAGAACCACUCGGAUGGAUGCCACUUCUUCAGAAGGAAAAGGAAAGUUCAUGGAAAGUUCUUUGUAAGAUUUUAAAAAUGGGGAGCACAGUGCAUCUCUUGGGAUCCAGCCAGGGACCCAAGCAUCUUGGAGGAGGUGUAAGGGAUUUAUUUUAGACAUUCCCUCUGGCAUAGAGCAGGAAGCAGGUGAGGAAUUUAUGGGAGCUGUUGCCUCUGCAUAUGGGGGUGUGACUGAAGCUGGGGCAAGUAGUGGGGCUGGCGGUGACAAGAAGCCGGGGACAGGCUGAGCUGGAGUCCAUGAGGGGAAACGGGAACUUACAACUUUUUGUUUGCAUUGCAUUCAAUCCCUGAAAUUAAGGUGACUGAAGUCCCAUGCAUGACCCUCACUGAGGGCCAGAGGUCUCCCUGGG